Molecule: long non-coding RNA, 2479 nt
Organism: Camelus dromedarius (Arabian camel)
Lineage: Eukaryota; Metazoa; Chordata; Mammalia; Artiodactyla; Camelidae
Exons: 4
Source: RefSeq, a predicted model, not a curated record
GUCUCCUACUUCCUGGGCUGAUGCACUGGUGGAGACUUUUGGGUUUCUCUGCAGCAAAAUUCCAGUCUUGGGUGGCAGCUCCAUGAGGAGAGAGAUGCAGCAACAGAGACCUCCCAGACUCAUUGUUCUCAAGUCUAGUCACUGACUUCACUGGAGCUAAACAACUCUUCAGAGGUGGAGGCUGCUCCCUGACCCCUGGGUGAAGUGGCUGUGGUGUGUUUUGAUGUCAGCUUCCUUCCUGAUUCCCCAGCUUUGUCACUGGGGCAGAAAAAGCAGCUCCUCUGGACACGGAGACAAGGCAGCUGUCUGCAAGAAAAGGCAGGAAGAGAGGUCUCACCAGAAACUGAAUUGGCCAGCACCUUGAUCGUGGACUUCCCAGCCUCCAGAACCAUAAGAAUAAAUUUCCUUGGUUGGAGCCACCCAGUCUAUGGUGCUUUGUCAUGGCAGCCUGAGCUGACACCGUCUCAGAAAAUGGUAACUCUCCCCCAAGUCACCAAACAGCUCAGUCUAAUAGGAAGACUCUCAGCCAAAGUGCUCCAACACCUGGUUUAGGAGCUUUCACGGGCAUUACGUCUUUUGAAGCACCUGGGUCCUGGGACAGCAUCCCGAACCACCUUGGAUCCUGAGAGACAGCAGGGAAGGCCAGGGAGGUUUUAUCAGCUCACAUGGCAUGUGAGGAGGUCAAGAACACGAAGAGCUUUCUCAUUGGCAGAGAGAAGAUCAUGGGACCAGUUGUGCCAACCCCACCAGACCAUCACGAGACAAGGAUAAAGAACACAAAACAUGUAACGGGCUCUCUAAAUGUGAGAGAGACAAUACAAACGGCCUCUCUGGAGGUUCAUCUCUCCUAUGACCUCAACUGUCCAGCACACGGCGGCGGCGGCACAUCCGCUGGGGAGGAGGCCUGCCUACUGUGGGAAAGCUCUCUGUGCUCUCAUUGGUUCCUUUGACCAUUUUCCCCUUUAAUCCUCUCAAAGCAGAUACUAUUAUUUUAUUCACAGAUGAGGAUAGUGAGGCUAAGAGGUUGAGAAACUAGUGAGGCUAGCUGGACACAGAACUGGACUCUGAACUCACAUCUGUCUUUGUAGACCUCGAGGAUCACACGCUGACUCCCCUGUGCUGGCUUUCCUGACCACCCCCACCGCCCCACCUCCGAAAAAUACAUACAGAGGCAUCUCAUGCACGUCACAGGGUGAAAACUCAGGCCCUUGACUCAUGCCCUCACUUUGAGCCUAUUUACUCUUGGUUUAAAAACAAUCCUGACCUGCCUGGUUAUCAGCUUUCCCAUCCUGCUGCAGAUCAGAAGGGACAUGAGGAGACCAGUCAUCUGACAGCAGCAAAUAACAGAUGACAGGAGGAAAAGAAAUUUAAAAAAUAAUUUUUAGCAGUGUUGGGUGGUUUUGUGUAGAAACAAAUAGACUUACCAAUUUCUCUGAUCACUUGUGAGUGAUCUAAAAAAAAAAAAAAGCUGCCUUUAUGAAAAUAAAAUAAAACCUGUAUUCCAAAGGCAGAACUGGCUCCAGAAAAAGAAUCUCCACACUGGCUGGGGCAGCUGGACUUCGAGCAAUUCUGACUCCCAUUCCCCAAGAUCUCUCCUCCCCUUUCUGAGCCCCCGUCCUGGGCACGUCCCAUGUCAACAGCAAGGGCAGAGCACAGACACAGAACCAAGGCUUUUGUUCUUAGUACCACUGUGGGAAGAACGAUGCAUCACGGACUCCCUGAAGACUAGGGGAAAGCAAAAGGGAAACUGAUGAAGAGAAAAACGUGAAACCAGGUGACCUGGUGCAAAGCAGCUAUCUGCUUGUCAAUUACACAAUCAGGCACCUGCCACGUGCCAGCGCAGUCCUAGGUUCUGGGCUUCAGUUGUGAAGUUGAGCGACUCUCUGCCCUCUUGGAGUUGCCUAUGCCCUUGGAGGGAGUGUCUCACAGUAAUCUUCAGCUUGCCACCCCUGGAGAGGGAUGUGCCCCCUCAUGGUCCCACCCGCCUUCCUUUAGCUGAGGUCAUCUGCAGUACCAUCCAUCCACUCUCUACACUGUCCAACACAACUGUAACAUAAGAGCUAUUUUCUUUUUGUCCUCAGUUUCUGGCACAAAGCUCUUAAGACCCUUGGAGUCUCCAGAGUGAUGAGUGUCUUUUAUGUGCUAAUGAGAUGACUGGUGGCUGUGGCUCCUAGGUAGCUUCAGAUGGGGACUGGGCCCAGAAAGGCCAAGGCAUGGUUAGCGUGGGUUGGGACCUCCAGGGAGGGGAGAGAGGCUGGAGAUGGAGUCAGUCACUGACAGCCAAUGAUUUAAUCAAUCAUGCCUUCAUAAUGAAAACUCCUUAACAAAGGGGUUUGGAGAACUUCUGAGUUGGUGGGCUGAUCAAAGUGCUGGGAGGGUAGCACUCCUGAAGAGGGCACAGAAGCUCCCUGCAACCCCUACCCUACCCCUAUUCCGUGCCCUCUGCAUCCCUUCCAUUGAAUUGUAUCCUUUAUAAUAA